Molecule: transfer RNA, 74 nt
Filed under: Oreochromis niloticus (Nile tilapia)
Lineage: Eukaryota; Metazoa; Chordata; Actinopteri; Cichliformes; Cichlidae
Description: tRNA-Ile (TAT) (tRNA-Ile-TAT-7-1)
Rfam family: tRNA
About the family: Transfer RNA (tRNA) molecules are approximately 80 nucleotides in length.
Source: RNAcentral
GCUCCAGUGGCGCAAUCGGUUAGUGCGCGGUACUUAUAAUGCCGAGGUUGUGAGUUCGAACCUCACCUGGAGCA